AAAAUACAAAGUCUAUAUAAUGUAUAGUGAUACUAUCUAUUUAAAAUUCUAGUUAAUAUCAUACUUAUCAAUCACCUAUUUUGUCUAAGCAGAUUUUUAGUUAUGUUGGUUUGUUUUUGUAAUGUUCUACAUGAUUUAUUCUUCUGUGGGUUAUUGAGUUAUAUGUGUGCACAUAGAAAACAUAUCCGUCUUGUGCUGUUGUAGUAAUAUAUUUAUUAUGAUCACUAACUGAUUGAUGGUUAUAUUAGGCCACGAGAGUAUGUAUACAGGUUUGAUUGUAUAUCAUAGAUAUUCAUAACUGUAUAUACAAAAUAUUUCAUUAAAUUCCAGCGAAUUUGUAAAAUAACAUUUCAGAUACGCUCUCUCAUAAAAUCUGCUAUAAUAAUCAUUCAAGUAAAAUAAAUU
RNAcentral lists this long non-coding RNA (405 nucleotides) under Mytilus galloprovincialis (Mediterranean mussel). Lineage: Eukaryota; Metazoa; Mollusca; Bivalvia; Mytilida; Mytilidae. The record is from RNAcentral.